Molecule: ribosomal RNA, 460 nt
Filed under: uncultured Anaerolineaceae bacterium
Lineage: Bacteria; Bacillati; Chloroflexota; Anaerolineae; Anaerolineales; Anaerolineaceae
Description: bacterial SSU rRNA
Rfam family: Bacterial small subunit ribosomal RNA
Source: RNAcentral
GAAUUGACGGGGACCCGCACAAGCAGCGGAGCGUGUGGUUUAAUUCGUUGCUACACGAAGAACCUUACCUGGUUUGACAUAUAGGUUGUAGGGAACUGAAAGGGACCGACCCUUCGGGGAGCCUAUACAGGUGUUGCAUGGCUGUCGUCAGCUCGUGUCGUGAGAUGUUCGGUUAAGUCCGCUAACGAGCGCAACCCUCGUCGUAUGUUAUAUGUGUCAUACGAGACUGCCGGUAAAAAGCCGGAGGAAGGUGAGGAUGAUGUCAAGUCAGCAUGACCUUUAUAUCCAGGGCUACACACACGCUACAAUGGUCUGUACAAUGGGUAGCCAAGCCGCGAGGCGGAGCCAAUCCUGAAAGCAGGCCUCAGUUCAGAUUGCAGUCUGCAACUCGACUGCAUGAAGCCGGAGUUGCUAGUAACCGCAGGUCAGCAAUACUGCGGUGAAUACGUUCCCGGGUCUU